This 383-nucleotide small RNA is filed under the name Pongo abelii (Sumatran orangutan). Its description in RNAcentral is "retained intron". The record is from RNAcentral. Lineage: Eukaryota; Metazoa; Chordata; Mammalia; Primates; Hominidae.
UGGCCGCUGGAGCUCUUUUGCCGGACCGAGGGCCGCUGCGUGUGCAGCGUGUGCACCGUGCGCGAGUGUCGCCUCCACGAGCGGGCGCUGCUGGACGCCGAGCGCCUCAAGCGCGAGGCCCAGCUGAGAGCCAGCCUAGAGGUUACCCAGCAGCAGGCCACGCAGGCCGAAGGCCAGCUACUAGAGCUGCAGAAGCAAAGCAGCCAGAUCCAGGUACAAGGCCUGUCUGCCCGCUCACCAUGGCCUCACACUGCAUCCUGGGGGCGGCCACCAGCUGGUCCCUGGAAUACUAGGCAGCAGGGAGUGGGGCUGGGCAGGGAUCUGGGCACAGGGGUCGUGGGGAGGUUCCCGGGACCCUGCCUCCCCACAUCCUGACCCUCAGC